AGAUUGAACGCUGGCGGCAGGCCUAACACAUGCAAGUCGAGCGGCAGCACGGGUACUUGUACCUGGUGGCGAGCGGCGGACGGGUGAGUAAUGCCUAGGAAUCUGCCUGGUAGUGGGGGAUAACGCUCGGAAACGGACGCUAAUACCGCAUACGUCCUACGGGAGAAAGCAGGGGACCUUCGGGCCUUGCGCUAUCAGAUGAGCCUAGGUCGGAUUAGCUAGUUGGUGAGGUAAUGGCUCACCAAGGCGACGAUCCGUAACUGGUCUGAGAGGAUGAUCAGUCACACUGGAACUGAGACACGGUCCAGACUCCUACGGGAGCAGCAGUGGGAAUAUUGGACAAUGGGACGAAAGCCUGAUCCAGCCAUGCCGCGUGUGUGAAGAAGGUCUUCGGAUUGAAAGCACUUUAAGUGGAGGAAGGCAAUUACCUAAUACGUAUCUGUUUUGACGUUACCGACAGAAUAAGCAACCGGCUAAACUCUGU
Molecule: ribosomal RNA, 484 nt
Filed under: uncultured soil bacterium
Lineage: Bacteria
Description: bacterial SSU rRNA
Rfam family: Bacterial small subunit ribosomal RNA
Source: RNAcentral